AAUGAACGUUGGCGGCGUGGAUUAGGCAUGCAAGUCGAGCGAGAAUCUGUGGAUUGAUCCUUCGGGUGAUUUCCUCAGAGGACAGCGGCAAACGGCGUAGUAAUGCGUAGGUACGUACCCUCAGGUCGGGGAUAGCCACGGGAAACUGUGGGUAAUACCCGAUGAUCUCUGCGGAGCAAAGGUGUGAUUCCGCCUGAGGAGCGGCUUACGUGAUAUUAGCUUGUUGGUGGGGUAAUGGCCUACCAAGGCGACGAUGUCUCGGGGGUGUGAGAGCAUGGCCCCCACGACCGGAACUGAGACACUGUCCGGACACCUACGGGUGGCUGCAGUCGAGAAUCUUCCGCAAUGGGCGAAAGCCUGACGGAGCGACGCCGCGUGCAGGAUGAAGGCCCUUGGGUUGUAAACUGCUGUCAGAGGGGAUGAAAUCACGGUGGGCUAUCCCUCCGUGUUGACAGAGCCUCAAAGGAAGCACGGGCUAAGUACGUGCCAGCCGCCGCCGUAACAC
RNAcentral lists this ribosomal RNA (505 nucleotides) under uncultured bacterium. Its description in RNAcentral is "bacterial SSU rRNA". It matches the Rfam family "Bacterial small subunit ribosomal RNA", at positions 29 to 526 of the family's 1533-position model. The record is from RNAcentral.